Molecule: ribosomal RNA, 263 nt
Filed under: uncultured bacterium
Lineage: Bacteria
Description: partial 16S ribosomal RNA
Rfam family: Bacterial small subunit ribosomal RNA
Source: RNAcentral
GCAAGUUGAGCGGUCAGGCCCCUUCGGGGGUACACGAGGAGCGAACGGGUGAGUAUCGCGUGGGUAAUCUACCCAAAGGCGUGGGAUAGCCUCGGGAAACCGGGGGUAAUACCGCAUGAGUCCUUGACGGCAUAAGCCGAUUAGGGGAAAGGCGGGGAGCCUUCGGGACCUGUCGCCUUUGGAUGAGCCUGCGUCCGAUUAGCUUGUUGGCGGGGUAAUGGCCCACCAAGGCAACGAUCGGUAGCCGGCCUGAGAGGGUGAAC